Molecule: long non-coding RNA, 5787 nt
Filed under: Homo sapiens (human)
Lineage: Eukaryota; Metazoa; Chordata; Mammalia; Primates; Hominidae
Description: HSALNT0359339
Source: RNAcentral
CUCCCAAAGUGCUGGGAUUACAGGUGCACUCAAUAUUUAAACAACACUUUAUGUUGGUUAAAAACAACAAUGAUUCCUGGGCAUUGAUCUUUCCAUUUAGAACAGAACACGAGAGAUUCACACUCUCAGACGCUCAAUCUAGGGGAUAUCUCCCAAAUGAUGACUAACCAAACUGGUGAGUGUCCAUCUCCAAAAUGCGCCCCCUCCUCUUGCCUGGGCUGCCCCUUCUGCCUGCUUCCUCCUCGCUUGCUCCGGAGAGCAACCAAACCUCCAACCCACAGUGCCAGUAGCUCUAUCUCUUCCCCAGUACAUCCUUUCUCCUUUCUAAAGCCCACGCCUCCUUUUCCUUUCUAGCACCAUUCAUUCCACCUCAGAAAAAAGUUUUCUUAUAAAAACCUAUCCAUCUAUUCUCUUUAAUCAUCCCCCUCUUUCUCCUUCUUCUGGUUCUUUUCCUGUGAUCACAGGAAUGUUUUUCCCUUUCCCUUUCUAUUUGUUCUUCCGUAAAUCACUAGAAUGAUUCUAAUAAAGGUUAAUGAGUAAAAAAUUGUCCUGAUAAUGUCAAGGAAAGGGAAAUGUGUCCCUAGUACACAAAUAUAGACAUAGCACAGUGCUAAUGCUGUAUGACUGGGGAAGGUCACCAAGUAGUGUAAUUUUCUAUUUUUAACCAGCACCAUAUAUAUACACGUUAUAAACUUUUCUUAGAGGUGUUUUUUUUUUCCACAAUAAAAAUAAAAAACUAAACUAAAACUAAAGAGCCCAUACCAUUAGCCUCUAAACCCUUGAAAAUUCUCUCAACUUCCCUUUAAAACAUUCUCAAAAGUCUAUGUCUUCUACCUCCACUAAUUAAAUAUAAGGUUUCUCAAGUGCAAACAUUCAUGAACUUUAGAACUUAUUUUUAAGUUAGUUAUGUUGUUUUUCUAGGUUUUAGAAAUUACUGCUAGUUUGGAAAAUGGUUCUCAAUGAACCUUGGAAUGCAAGAAUAGGAACUGAGUCAGAAUGUUCCAUUGUCAAUGACGGUCCAAUUGUGACAAAGAGCAUGGCUUUUGGAGUGAUUCUGAGCUAUGUUUGAAUCCUGACUCCAGCAUUUACUGGCUGUGUGACUUUGAAACCUCUGGAGUGUUCUAACUGGCAAAAACAAUGGUACUUUGCGGUUUUGAGCCUGGGAAACCUAAAAAAAACUUUGGCAAUUGUGUCUCUUCUCACUUCAUGGCUCUGGAAAACAAGAAGACUGCUCAGCUUGACUCCAAGAAUUCCACCUUCCCCUAAAAAUGAGGAAGAUAGGGCUCCAUGUGCAUGUACCACAAUCCCAUCAGCAAUAGUCAGUUGGAGCAGAGGAUUUUUAGGCUGGAUAAAGGAGCAUCUUACCCUUCCCAGGACAGACUAGUCGGCCUCUGCAGUCUGACUAAAAACCAAGGAGACCAAAUGUGAAGUCAGCGUGGGACACAAGAGAUUCGAGCGGGAGUCAUGAAAGCACGGAGAGCUGUGUCUCAGGAAAGGCAGCGCUAAUGGAGAUGGGUCAGAUGGGAACUGAAAGCAGACAGUGAGGCGUGGAGGCUCCUGCCACAGCCUGUGAAACAGUGAAUGAAAUGCAGCCUCAGUGAAAGCAGUGGUGCUGUGGUGAAGAGGAGGAGGCAGAUUCUCAUGCUGUCGGACAGGAUGCUUGUCCAGGUGGAAGUGGAGAGUGAAAGAGAGGGGUCAGGUAACUCUGAAGUUUCUUGCCUGAAUAACUGAAAGGAUGAAAUACACUUUCAGAGAAAACAAUUGUGGUGAGUGCUAGUUUGUGCAGUUACGAGAAUUAAUUCACUUCAAGUAACAAACCUGUACAUGGACCCUCGAAUCUAAAAUAAAAUUUAAAAUUAUUUUUAAGAAAGUAAAAACAAAAAAGAAGUAAUUAAUUAAAAAGUUAAAGAUUAGAUCUAUGGAUCAUUGGGCAAACUGUAGACAAAACAGCCUAGAUGACUGAAAUUUUUGCUUUUUGGUCCAUCAUGGGGGCAUCAGCUGGAUACAAACCAAAACGUGCUCACCUAUAACCAGCUAAUAAUUCCUCCAAAAACACCCUUGGCUGAUAGGUUUGGCUUGAGUGGUCAUUGAAGACUGCUAAAUUGUAGGCUUCUAAUAUAAGGAGGAAUAGAAAAAGGUAGCAAUUGCUUUAAAGGUAAAGGAGGCCAUGGAUAUUUUUUCCUGGACAGAUCAUAUUUUGAAGGACUAAAUGAUAAAGCCUUAGUAAGGAUGGACUUAUUCCUUCUUUUGUUCAUGCCUUUUGCUUUUCCAUUUGUUUUUAGUUUUUAAUUUCUUAUGGAUCAGGUAUUUAUGUGUUGAUUGUGGAUUAAUUUUUAAAAUAACGCUAUUCCCCUCCUUUGACCCUGAAAGAUCAAUUCUGUCUUUCAAACAAGACCACAUCCAAUUGGAAUACUAAGAAAUUUUUUCUGGUCAUGUCGGAUUCUUACGUGCAGUGUUUUUGUUUUGUGUUGUUUUAUUUGAGCAUGAUACUAAAACUACCCUGGAAAUCACUCCCUGAAAAUAGAACACUCUCGGGAAUUACAGGGGUUUAUAAUUAAAAUAUGUUAUAAGUGGGUGGCGAAGUGGCCACAUUUUGUCCUCUUAAAUUUGAAUUUCACUUCCAUCAUGAGCCCAUAUCAUUGGGGACUUCAGUCUGUAGUUGAGAAGGAACAGGGCUGUAAUGUGUGAAAACACAUUUCCCUAAACUGCAUUCACUAAAAGUACCACUUUCUAUCACUAAAAGCAAGCUAGAACGCAUAAUCGUUGUCAUUGGUUAUGUUUCGAAACUGGCCCUAUGUAAAACAUGAAUGAAAUUGCAUUUGCUUGGGAAAGGUUUUUAUUGUUAUGUUUAAACCCAUAAAUGAGAUUUUUAAAAAAUGUAUAUUACAACUAAUCUAAUGAAUUUUUAUUGAAUAAUUUUAUUCUUUCUCUCUCUUCUCUACGGAAUGUGGGUUUUUGUUUUUCUUGUUCUCCAACACAAACUGCCAGCCAUGGCCUACCAGGAUCUUUUCCCAAACACUGCAUGUAACUUCAGAUACCAUGUCUAUUUUCCUCAGUACCCCAGACUGACAUUUCAACAAGUACUUCUCAUCAUAGCUUUUUCAGAAGCUCUGAAAAAGCAUCUGGGGGCAUACUGACAUUAUCAGAUUUUUAGGGUGGAUGAUGGAAAUAGGACAUUUGCUUUAACCCUUCCCAACAAUAAAGCAAGAAACCAACGAACUGUCUUCCUACGUCAAUCAAGCCGAAUUGAUUCUGAAAUUUAUCUCUUCACAGUGUAUGAUGGGUGAGUGUGGCAAUUCACAAUCACAAAUGCUGUUGGAAUUCAUUGCAAACCUCAAUGGCUUGUGUGAUCUAGGCCUAAUCUGGUGGUCCAAUGCCAUUGGUCUUCAUGUUCCAAAGGGGGAUUGGCAGCCCAUAUGGGGUUUUCAGGGCACUGGACAGCCCUGUCUCACAGAAGAGAUCUUUCUCUGUGGGAUCCAUGCAUUCCCACAAUUGUUAUGAUCGUUUCAUAGUUCAUAUUCAGAGCCUUCUCAUAUAUUUCCUACACACCGCACAUGAGUUUAUUAGACCUUUUCCUGAGGAUAGGCGGAAGCAGAGAAUAUUGGGCAAGAAGGAUGGAGAGCAGAGUCUUCAGGCACAGGGUCCUGGAGAUUAGGGACAAACUUUGGCCCCUGACAAUUUUGCAUAAGUUCAGCUCUGGCACAAGUCUACCAUGUUGAGGUUAGCCAAUCUGAGUUAACCGAGAACACACUGGGAGAGAAUUACUCGCCUUUUGUUAUUUCUGAAACCUGAACUGCUUUUAGAAAUAAAGGCUGGAAUGUUCCAUAGGAACUCGGAGCAUGGGGCACGGGCAUGGCACACACUCGGUUGGGCUAUUUAAAAACCAGUCCCUUGGCUUCCCUCUGUGAUUCUAAAUACGUGAAAUCACAUUACCCUGCAGCAGCCGGUAACUAUUUCUAUAACAUUGUCCAGCAUCUGUGCUUGCCGUGACUGGGUCCACCCAACAAAAACAAAGUGGAGAUGUGGUAAUUGAUUAGGUUAAUCACUCCAGGCUUUCUGUGCCACAGCUAAUGUCCAUCUAGUGUCUACUGACACUACUCCUGGAAUUUUAAGGACUGAUCUAUGUAACUAGAUCUAUGUAACUUCCUAGGGGAAGGGAGGUGCCUUAGCAUAUCAAAAGGAUGCUUUUUAAAAGAGCUAUUUAUUCAUUUAACAAGUGAGGACCAGAAACACAAUUUAUCACUUUCUCAGAGACAGCAAAUUCUUAUCCUAUGGAAGGAUCCCAGCAUUAGAGACUCUGCCCCUUUCUGUGGGAAAGAAUCUAUCUUUUUUGGAUUUGUUUGAUGUGCUAACUAACACUUCCCCCAGUCACACCACUAGCCAUCAAUCAAACAGAUAAACCCCUUAGGAAUAUCUAGUCAAUUGCUAAUCAUUUGAAGACAUCAGCCAGUAGAAGGGCAUUAGCCAACAUCAUUACAUAAUGUCAAAACAACUGAUCAAGUUUGUGAAUCCAAUGAAACAGUCAAACCAGUUUAGGAAUUUCAUAUACACAAAACAAUAGAUGAGUGACUUUUAGCUUUUUAGCUUGAUAUAAAAUUUUUAAACCCUACCAUUUAUAAAUGUGUAAGCAUUUGGCACACCCUAUGCCAAGUGUUUUAUCUACUUAAACCUUGGAAGUAUGUGUUCUCACUUCCAUUUUAAAGAUAAGAAGACUGAGGCUUAGUGAGAUAUACUAAUCUGCACAAGACUACAUGUUUAGGUUCUAUGAGUGGCAGGGUGAGGUUUAAACACUUGUCUCUCCAACGUCCACUCCAUGCUGUUUGCCUCUGUGUAUGUAACUUCAAACAGCCAAAAUGGCCAAGUAAGGCAAGAAAAUAAAAAAAUAAAAAACAAACAAGUGAAAGGCCUGGGUCCUGAAUCAUGCAGUUAAGAUAGCCAAGACUCAGCUGAUCCACAAUUGUCUAAUUCUGCCCAUAUCCGUCCAGCUACAAACCAAGUCUGCGACCUGAUACCUGAGUCCUGGGAGACCUCUUGACCCCCAUGUGAUACCGCUGUAAGGACUAGGACUCCAAUUGCCAAACAUUACACAUCAGAACAAAUUUUAUGUGUUCCAUUAUGCCUGUGAACAGAUCUGAUUUCUUAGUCAAAUAUUAUUUUUUUGAAUAUUUUCAGGCAUAGACUGAGUAUGUGGUUCCCUUGUGGCCAACUCAAAACAUAUAGCAGAGAGUAAUCCUUUGCACUAUCCUAUAUUAAUAUUUUCUUUCCCUCCUUGUAAUGGAACUAGUUAUAAAUUAGAUGAGAUUAAAAAACAGUCUCUUGAGAAUUAACAUUUUAAGGAAUUACCUAGAAAGAGCUGAGGUGUUUUUUUUCCCCACAUGGUAAAUCAUACAGAGUAGCAGCCUGCCCCAGAUCCCCGGAGACAACAUCUUGAGCGCAUAUGUUAUGCUGGGUUCUGUAUUGACUAAUUCAAAAACUCCAGGGCAAAAGAACCCAAGUUCCCAAGUUAAAAAUGAAAGUAAAAUAGUGGAAUGGAAUUGGGAUCAUUGUUGCAAGAUUCCAACAACUUCAUAAAUAGCCAUUAAAGUAGACAGCAUGACAGGUUAACAGAUUUACCAUUGUAAGAAUCAACCUGCACUGUUGGUGUGAAGUCGCAAACAAACCCAUCUACCUCUCACUUUACGGAUAUUCUGUUUUCUCAGAAAUAGAAUCACAUUUGACAAAAUUAAUAUUGAGAUCAUUUUACUAGAAGGCUUAUCCAAAUAUAUGCCAUAUUAAAAAUAGUCAUGA